This 65-nucleotide non-coding RNA is filed under the name Aquimixticola soesokkakensis. Lineage: Bacteria; Pseudomonadati; Pseudomonadota; Alphaproteobacteria; Rhodobacterales; Paracoccaceae. The record is from RNAcentral.
AAGCGAAACGCCCCGUGAGGGGCGUCGUCAGGGCGUGGUGGCCUUGGCCUGAUGAGCAGCCAGAA